Long non-coding RNA from Eriocheir sinensis (Chinese mitten crab), 2810 nucleotides. RefSeq lists it as uncharacterized. Lineage: Eukaryota; Metazoa; Arthropoda; Malacostraca; Decapoda; Varunidae. The record is from RefSeq and is a predicted model, not a curated record. The transcript is spliced from 2 exons.
AGCCCAGCAACACCCCUUCCCAGCAACACAGCUCCGAGAUGUUCACCCCCCACGCACCCUCUCCCCACCACCACAGCCCAGCUACCCCCCCUCCUCAGCAACACAGCCCCAGCACCCAGCAGCCAGACCCACCAAGGAGUGUCAGAACAGUGGCAGAGGUAAUUGGGUCAAGCUCAGAUAGCCAGGUGGAUGUUGUGUCUUCCCCUCCCGACAGACAGCUCACCCCAGAUCUAAAGAGGGCUUUCAGGCCCCCCCCCAGCUCAGCCAACACCCUCAGUAACAAGCUGACCAGACAGAUCAUAAGGAAGUGAGGAUAACCUUUUAUAUGCAUUUUGUUUGUGUCUUAAUGGAGUUUUUUGUGUGUCUUGUACGCUGUGAUAACUCCCACUGACCUGGCCGUGCUGGAAAGUUAGUGACAGAUGAGAUUGUGAAAAUGAAGGGAAUUAUGUGUGUUGUGGUUGGUGUGUGGCAUCAAGACAAAGAGGAGUUAAAAGUUGUAGCGCCUGAGUCGGCCAUGCAUUAUCGUGCCCUGGCAGCCUGCUGUCAUGACGCACGUACAAGUUUACUAAUAUGAUAGCCUGCACAGGAAGCAGUCUUCAGUAUCAGUAAUAUGCAGGUAGCUGUUUUGUUACUUUAUAAGGUCCCUGACUAAGUGCUGGGCUUCGCAGAGAAAAGGUCAACAAACAGCCGUCUGGGACAUUAAUAAUUUGAAACUCCAAAUCAACAUUAACGGAUGGCAUUAUUUUUUACUGCCUGCAUAUUAUUAUUUCUGAUAGUUAUUUCCUCUGCAUAGACUCUAAUAUACUAUUCACGAAAAUGACACAUCACAGGGCAGCAGGUUGCCAGAGCACGAUAAUGCACUCCUCAGACUUGGGCGCUGCGGCUGAAGUGACUGACCACGAAACACACACACCACAUCAAUUCACUUCAGCAUUGCGUUGGGGUGGCCAGGACGGGAGGGCCAGUGCCAGACAGUUUUGGUUUAGAACUUGCUUGUAUGAAGGUGUUUUAAAAUUGUUCUUAUUUUCUUCCAUGAGUGAAUUCUAAGCCUUGGGCAAAAGAAAAAAAUGAAAAACCUUGAAUUGUCAGGUCUGUUUGGAAUGCCCCCCUGUCCUGGCUAUCCCAGCUUAUAGCCAUUACUUUUAUUCUUCAACUGACAUGUUCCUACGUACCGGUUUCUUUUCCAAAUAGAUAUAUAUAUAUUUUUAACAGUGUAUUAAUGAAUCCUUCCCUGAGAGGCGUCACAUUCCCACACCCUGCACUGAGCUGAGUGUGGUGGGCGGCGGAGACACCAGACGCCUCACGCACCAACAGCCAGUCAGAAGCGUCCUUACUUACUCAGCCAGGAGCAAAGAAUCCAGCUUGAGGGAUUGGACCAGUCACGGCAUUACACUUACUACAGCAUCACCACUACCUUGGACAGUACUGACGGCUGACUUAGGAGAGAGAGAGAGCAUGAGGGGAAGACUUUACCAGGACACACAGCCAUGCACUACACUGAAUGGACUAUUGUACUCUAGCAUCACCACUACCUUGGACAGUACUGACAGCCGACUUAGGAGAGAGAGCACGUGGAGAAGACUUUAGCCAGCAUUCUUAAACAUCUCGGCACCUCAGAUAACCAGUUUGAAAAGUCUCUCCCAUAGAAGUUGCAGAGAUACUUAUAGACUGCUUUGUUUCCCAGUGAUAGUUUUACCCAACUUCACAAAUACAUUACACGAUAAAGGAUUACGUUAAGGAGUCGGAGUCGGGGGUAUUUUUACCGACUCCGACCAAAAGUAGCCAACUCCACCGACUUUUGACUCCACACCCCUGGUUAAAACUCACCCGACAAAACCUCCGCUCUCACCCGACUACUCAGCGCUGCGUAUCGCCCCCACACGCUGCCGGCUACUUCCAAAACAACAGGUGAGGUUACUACAAGGUUUUAAUGCAUAGCUAUUUACAUACAACUUGGUAGGAAUGUGAAAAUAAGAGGAUAAUACUACAUACAAUUUGAUAGGAAUGUAGAUUAAAUUACUAGGGAUUAAAAUUUACAUACAAUGACAACCGUUAAAGAUGAGAUUGCUUGAGAUUGCCGGGUUAAAAUCUCACACAUACAAAUAAUGAGUAUGUGAGAGGAUGAGAUUUCUAGGUAGGCAUAUAAACUUACAGACAACUUAGCAGGAAUGUAGAUUAAAUUACCGGAGGAAAGAAUUUAGAUGCAACGGCAGGAAUGUGAAAAAAAUAUGAGAUUGCUUGCGUUGAGAUUUCCAAAGUUUAUAAAAAUGUGAAAAUACGAGAUUGUUGACGAAAAAACUCUACAUACGGUUUGACAGGAAUGUGAAGAAAAUAAAUCACUAGAGAAUAAGAGAAAGUGAUAUUAAAUUACUUAGGAUAUGAGUAUGGACAACUAAGAGAGGAGAAAAAGGGAAGAGAAGAGAAAAAGUGAUAUUAAAUUGCGAGGGAUAAGAGAAAGAGAGUGAAAAUAUGUAAAGAGAAUAAAUCACUAGAGAAUAAGAGAGUGAUAUUAAAUUACUUAGGAUAUGAGUAUGGACAACUAAGAGAGGAGAAAAAGGGAAGAGAAGAAAAUAAGUGAUAUUAAAUUGCGAGGGAUAAGAAUAUAGAGAACUUAGAGAAGAGAAAGAGAGUGAAAAUAUGAAGAGAAUAAAUCACUAGAGAAUGAUAAGAGAAAGUGAUAUUAAAUUACUUAGGAUAUGAGUAUGGACAACUAAGAGAGGAGAAAAAGGGAAGAGAAUAAGUGAUAUUAAAUUGCUAGGGAUAAGAAUAUAGAGAACUUAGAGAAGAGAAAGGGAGUGAAAAUAUGAGAG